RNAcentral lists this ribosomal RNA (629 nucleotides) under Goodmania luteola. RNAcentral describes it as "eukaryotic LSU rRNA". The stretch from base 253 to 408 matches the Rfam family "5.8S ribosomal RNA". Lineage: Eukaryota; Viridiplantae; Streptophyta; Magnoliopsida; Caryophyllales; Polygonaceae. The record is from RNAcentral.
UCGAAACCUGCAAAGCAGAACGACCCGCGAACACGUUUACCAACCCCGAGGGGUGAGGCAUGCCUCAUCCCCCUCGGAGCCCGAUCGCGCCGCCUCCCCCUCCCCGUCAAAAAGGUAGGCGGGACGGCGUGUGACGGCAAGUACCCAAACACCGGCGCGGGUUGCGCCAAGGACUAUGAAAUUUUACCGCGUCACCCGGCCUUAGGAAACUUUGUGCCGCGGAGAAAGGCGAGUUGAAAAAUAUAACAGAACGACUCUCGGCAACGGAUAUCUCGGCUCUCGCAUCGAUGAAGAACGUAGCGAAAUGCGAUACUUGGUGUGAAUUGCAGAAUCCCGUGAACCAUCGAGUCUUUGAACGCAAGUUGCGCCCGAAGCCAUCCGGCUGAGGGCACGCCUGCCUGGGCGUCACGCAUCGCGUCGCCCCCUCCCCCUCCACUUCGGAGCGRAGAGAGGGGCGGAGUAUGGCCCCCCGUACGCCCCCGCGUGCGGCCGGCCUAAACAAGGAGCCCGUGUCCGCGAUAGCCGCGACGUUUGGUGGUUGUCUAUCGAUCGAGCAUCGCGUCGCGUGCUGCAGCGUCCCCGGAUAGCUCGAAGGACCCUUAGGCCCAGUAGCCUACCCUUGCGACCCC